CCUACGGGUGGCAGCAGUGAGGAAUAUUGGUCAAUGGUCGGGAGACUGAACCAGCCAAGCCGCGUGAGGGAUGAAGGUACAGAGUAUCGUAAACCUCUUUUGUCAGGGAACAAAGGCGGGGACGUGUCCCCGGAUGAGUGUACCUGAAGAAAAAGCAUCUGCUAACUCCGUGCCAGCAGCCGCGGUAAUACGGAGGCUGCGAGCGUUAUCCGGAUUUAUUGGGUUUAAAGGGUGCGCAGGCGGUCUGUUAAGUCAGCGGUAAAAGCCCGGGGCUCAACACCGGCCCGCCGUUGAAACUGGCAGUCUCGAGUUGGAGAGAAGUAUGCGGAAUGCGCGGUGUAGCGGUGAAAUGCAUAGAUAUCGCGCAGAACUCCGAUUGCGAAGGCAGCAUGCCGGCUCCACACUGACGCUGAGGCACGAAAGCGUGGGUAUCGAACAGGAUUAGAUACCCUUGUAGUC
RNAcentral lists this ribosomal RNA (459 nucleotides) under uncultured bacterium. Its description in RNAcentral is "partial 16S ribosomal RNA". It matches the Rfam family "Bacterial small subunit ribosomal RNA", at positions 338 to 795 of the family's 1533-position model. The record is from RNAcentral.